This 534-nucleotide ribosomal RNA is filed under the name uncultured bacterium. RNAcentral describes it as "bacterial SSU rRNA". It matches the Rfam family "Bacterial small subunit ribosomal RNA", at positions 94 to 630 of the family's 1533-position model. The record is from RNAcentral.
ACCGGCGAACGGGUGCGUAACACGUGAGCGACCUACCGAUGCGCGGGGGAUAGCCGGCCCAACGGCCGGGUAAUACCGCAUACGCCAGUCGGGCCGCAUGGCCUGACUGGGAAACCUCCCGGGCGGAUCGAGGGGCUCGCGGCCUAUCAGCUAGUUGGCGGGGUAACGGCCCACCAAGGCGACGACGGGUAGCUGGUCUGAGAGGAUGGCCAGCCACAUUGGGACUGAGAAACGGCCCAGACUCCUACGGGAGGCAGCAGUGGGGAAUAUUGCACAAUGGCCGCAAGGCUGACGCAGCGACGCCGCGUGUGGGAUGACGCCCUUCGGGGUGUAAACCACUGUUGCUCGGGACGAACGAGGAGAUUCAUCUCCUGUGACGGUACCGGGUGAGGAAGCACCGGCUAACUCCGUGCCAGCAGCCGCGGUAAUACGGAGGGUGCGAGCGUUGUCCGGAAUCACUGGGCGUAAGGGCGCGUAGGCGGCUUGGUAAGGGGGCGGUGAAAGCCCGGGGCUCAACCCCGGGUCUGCCGGACC